CCUACGGGAGGCAGCAGUGAGGAAUAUUGGUCAAUGGGCGAGAGCCUGAACCAGCCAAGUCGCGUGAAGGAUGACGGCCCUACGGGUUGUAAACUUCUUUUGUCAGGGAGCAAUUGUGUCCACGCGUGGGCUUAGCGAGAGUACCUGAAGAAAAAGCAUCGGCUAACUCCGUUCCAGCAGCCGCGGUAAUACGGAGGAUGCGAGCGUUAUCCGGAUUUAUGGGGUUUAAGGGGUGCGUAGGCGGAAUAUCAAGUCAGCGGUAAAAAUUCGGGGCUAAACCCCGUCGUGCCGUUAAAACUGAUGUUCUUGAGUGGGCGAGAAGUAUGCGGAAUGCGUGGUGUAGCGGUGAAAUGCAUAGAUAUCACGCAGAACUCCGAUUGCGAAGGCAGCAUACCGGCGCACAACUGACGCUGAAGCACGAAAGCGUGGGUAUCGAACAGGAUUAGAUACCCGAGUAGUC
This 460-nucleotide ribosomal RNA is filed under the name uncultured bacterium. RNAcentral's name for it is "partial 16S ribosomal RNA". It matches the Rfam family "Bacterial small subunit ribosomal RNA", at positions 338 to 795 of the family's 1533-position model. The record is from RNAcentral.